AUACGUAGGGGGCUAGCGUUAUCCGGAAUUACUGGGCGUAAAGGGUGCGUAGGUGGUUUCUUAAGUCAGAAGUGAAAGGCUACGGCUCAACCGUAGUAAGCUUUUGAAACUAAGAGACUUGAGCGCAGGAGAGGAGAGUAGAAUUCCUAGUGUAGCGGUGAAAUGCGUAGAUAUUAGGAGGAAUACCAGUUGCGAAGGCGGCUCUCUGGACUUUAACUGACACUGAGGCACGAAAGCGUGGGGAGCAAACAGGAUUAGAUACCCUGGUAGUCCACGCCGUAAACGAUGAGUACUAGCUGUCGGGGGUUACCCCCCUCGGUGGCGCAGCUAACGCAUUAAGUACUCCGCCUGGGAAGUACGCUCGCGAGAGUGAAACUCAAAUGAAUUGACGGGG
This 394-nucleotide ribosomal RNA is filed under the name uncultured bacterium. RNAcentral describes it as "partial 16S ribosomal RNA". It matches the Rfam family "Bacterial small subunit ribosomal RNA", at positions 523 to 918 of the family's 1533-position model. The record is from RNAcentral.